This 684-nucleotide ribosomal RNA is filed under the name uncultured bacterium. RNAcentral describes it as "bacterial SSU rRNA". It matches the Rfam family "Bacterial small subunit ribosomal RNA", at positions 104 to 805 of the family's 1533-position model. The record is from RNAcentral.
GGGUGAGUAACGCGUGGGCAACCUGCCCCAUACAGGGGGAUAACAGUUAGAAAUGACUGCUAACACCGCAUAAGCGCACAGGGCCGCAUGGCCCGGUGUGAAAAACUCCGGUGGUAUGGGAUGGGCCCGCGUCUGAUUAGCCAGUUGGCGGGGUAACGGCCCACCAAAGCGACGAUCAGUAGCCGACCUGAGAGGGUGACCGGCCACAUUGGGACUGAGACACGGCCCAAACUCCUACGGGAGGCAGCAGUGGGGAAUAUUGCACAAUGGGGGGAACCCUGAUGCAGCGACGCCGCGUGAGCGAAGAAGUAUCUCGGUAUGUAAAGCUCUAUCAGCAGGGAAGAAAAAUGACGGUACCUGACUAAGAAGCCCCGGCUAACUACGUGCCAGCAGCCGCGGUAAUACGUAGGGGGCAAGCGUUAUCCGGAUUUACUGGGUGUAAAGGGAGCGCAGGCGGCGCGGCAAGUCUGAUGUGAAAGCCCGGGGCUCAACCCCGGGACUGCAUUGGAAACUGUCGCGCUCGAGUGUCGGAGAGGUAAGUGGAAUUCCUAGUGUAGCGGUGAAAUGCGUAGAUAUUAGGAGGAACACCAGUGGCGAAGGCGGCUUACUGGACGACAACUGACGCUGAGGCUCGAAAGCGUGGGGAGCAAACAGGAUUAGAUACCCUGGUAGUCCACGCCGUAA